GCAUAUCAAUAAGCGGAGGAAAAGAAACCAACAGGGAUUGCCUCAGUAACGGCGAGUGAAGCGGCAAAAGCUCAAAUUUGAAAUCUGGCUCUUUCAGGGUCCGAGUUGUAAUUUGUAGAAGAUGUUUCGGGUGUGGUCCCAGUCUAAGUUCCCUGGAACUGGACAUCACAGAGGGUGAGAAUCCCGUAUGUGACUGGGUACCUACGUCCAUGUGAAACUCUUUCGACGAGUCGAGUUGUUUGGGAAUGCAGCUCAAAAUGGGUGGUAAAUUUCAUCUAAAGCUAAAUAUUGGCCAGAGACCGAUAGCGCACAAGUAGAGUGAUCGAAAGAUGAAAAGCACUUUGGAAAGAGAGUUAAACAGUACGUGAAAUUGUUGAAAGGGAAGGGCAUGCAAUCAGACUUGCGCCUAGUUGAUCAUCCGGGCUUUUGCCCGGUGCACUCGAUUAGGCUCAGGCCAGCAUCAGUUUAGAGGGUUGGAUAAAGGCCUUGGGAAUGUGGCCCCUCUCGGGGGGUGUUAUAGCCCAAGGUGCAAUGCAGCCACUCUGGACUGAGGACCGCGCUUCGGCUAGGAUGCUGGCGUAAUGGUUGUAUGCCGCCCGUCUUGAAACACGGACCAAGGAGUCUAACAUCUAUGCGAGUAUUUGGGUGUUAAACCCAUAUGCGUAAUGAAAGUGAACGGAGGUGAGAGCCCUUAAGGGUGCAUCAUCGACCGAUCCUGAUGUCUUCGGAUGGAUUUGAGUAAGAGCAUAGCUGUUGGGACCCGAAAGAUGGUGAACUAUGCGUGAAUAGGGUGAAGCCAGAGGAAACUCUGGUGGAGGCUCGCAGCGGUUCUGACGUGCAAAUCGAUCGUCAAAUUUGCGUAUAGGGGCGAAAGACUAAUCGAACCAUCUAGUAGCUGGUUCCUGCCGAAGUUUCCCUCAGGA
This 923-nucleotide ribosomal RNA is filed under the name Lambertella corni-maris. RNAcentral describes it as "eukaryotic LSU rRNA". It matches the Rfam family "Eukaryotic large subunit ribosomal RNA", at positions 38 to 978 of the family's 3401-position model. Lineage: Eukaryota; Fungi; Ascomycota; Leotiomycetes; Helotiales; Rutstroemiaceae. The record is from RNAcentral.